CCCGGUGAUUAGAGCGAGGCGGAACGACUCCAUUCCAUUCCGAACUGGAUAGUCAAACGCCUCAGCGGGGACGAUAUCUGGUCUUUGUGACCAGUGAAAAUACCUCAUCGCCGGGC
Molecule: ribosomal RNA, 116 nt
Filed under: Candidatus Shapirobacteria bacterium CG10_big_fil_rev_8_21_14_0_10_40_9
Lineage: Bacteria; Candidatus Shapironibacteriota
Source: RNAcentral